AAGGCAUGUCCGAAGAAUCGUCACUGAUCGAAGCUUACAAUAGGGCGUGACUUUUCUCACACUCAUAGAAAUGCUUUGGGAUGAAAGUCUCCGACCUGUCAAUAUGCGAAAAACGCAACGAGAUGUAAAAACUUUUACAAUGUUUAAAUCAACUCGUUAGGAAAUCAAUCUAUCUGUAAUCAGGUAGUUUGGCUCCUCCUCUCCUGUGUGCUUCUGUGCGCAGUGAAUUUCGGUGUUGAAGCUUAUUUUUAAGUUUUAAACCAUAGUUAUGACGAUUGCCGACAGCCUUUUGGCUGCUGGUAACCCGAUGGAGCUUAUUUCUUGGAUCAUGCCCUUCGACC
Small nuclear RNA from Eremothecium sinecaudum, 341 nucleotides. The record is from RefSeq and is a predicted model, not a curated record. NCBI's taxonomy places the organism in Eukaryota, Fungi, Ascomycota, Saccharomycetes, Saccharomycetales, Saccharomycetaceae.